This 1820-nucleotide ribosomal RNA is filed under the name Ectenagena extenta gill symbiont. RNAcentral describes it as "partial 23S ribosomal RNA". Lineage: Bacteria; Pseudomonadati; Pseudomonadota; Gammaproteobacteria. The record is from RNAcentral.
CCCACCAUGCAUUGUCCCUGGUCCAGAUAAUGGACCUAGGUUAGAAUUCCAACCAUACUAGGGUGGUAUUUCAAGGAUGGCUCCACUCAAGACUAGCGUCUAAGUUUCAAAGCCUACCACCUAUCCUACACAAGUAGGAUCAAAAUUCAAUGCAAAGCUGUAGUAAAGGUGCACGGGGUCUUUCCGUCUGGCCGCGGGUAUACUGCAUCUUAACAGCAAUUUCAAUUUCACUGAGUCUCGGGUAGAGACAGUGUAGCCCUCGUUACGCCAUUCGUGCAGGUCGGAACUUACCCGACAAGGAAUUUCGCUACCUUAGGACCGUUAUAGUUACGGCCGCCGUUUACUUGGGCUUCGAUCAAAAGCUUCGGAUAAAUCCUAACCUCAUCAAUUAACCUUCAAGCACCGGGCAGGCGUCACACCCUAUACGUCCACUUACGUGUUUGCAGAGUGCUGUGUUUUUAAUAAACAGUCGGAGCCACCUGGUAUCUUCAACUCUUACCAGCUUCAUUUAGCAAGUAAAAUUACCGGCAAGAGCACACCUUCUCCCGAAGUUACGGUGUCAUUUUGCCUAGUUCCUUCACCCGAGUUCUCUCAAGCGCCUUAGAAUUCUCAUCUCGUCCACCUGUGUCGGUUUGGGGUACGGUUUCAUAUAACCUGAAGCUUAGAGGAUUUUCCUGGAAGUAUGGUAUCACGCACUUCUCCCAAAAGAGGGAUCGUUAUCACGCCUUAAAAUAUAGAGUUCCGGAUUUUCCUAAAACUCAUUUCUACACGCUUGAACUUGGACAACCAUAGCCAAGCUGCGCUAACCUUCUCCGUCUUCCCAUCGCAGUUAUAUGAAGUAUAGGAAUAUUAACCUAUUUCCCAUCGACUACGCAUUUCUGCCUCGCCUUAGGGGCCGACUAACCCUACGCCGAUUAACGUUGCGUAGGAAACCUUGGACUUCUGGCGAGGGGGUUUUUCACCCCCUUUAUCGUUACUCAUGUCAGCAUUCGCACUUCUGAUACCUCCAGUAAACCUUACAGUUUACCUUCAACGGCUUACAGAACGCUCUCCUACCAUUGCAAUAAAUUGCAAUCCGUAGCUUCGGUAUGUAGUUUUAGCCCCGUUAAAUCUUCCGCGCAAACCGACUCGACCAGUGAGCUAUUACGCACUCUUUAAAGGAAUGGCUGCUUCUAAGCCAACUUCCUGGCUGUCUUGGCCUUUUCACAUCGUUUCCCACUUAACUACAAUUUUGGGACCUUAGCUGACGGUCUGGGUUGUUUCCCUUUCCACUACGGACGUUAGCACCCGCAGUGUGUCUCCCAUGCUCAUACUUGUCGGUAUUCGGAGUUUGCAAUGGCUUACUAAGUCUUGACGACCCGCUAACCAUAACAGUGCUCUACCCCCGACAGUAAUACAUGAGGCUCUACCUAAAUAGAUUUCGGAGAGAACCAGCUAUCUCCGGGUUUGUUUGGCCUUUCACCCCUAUCCACAGCUCAUCCCCUCAUUUUUCAACAUAAGUGGGUUCGGGCCUCCAGUUAGUUUUACCUAACCUUCACCCUGGCCAUGGAUAGAUCACCCGGUUUCGGGUCUACUCCCAGCAACUAAACGCCCAUUUAAGACUCGGUUUCCCUACGGCUCCCCUAUUUGGUUAACCUUGCUACUGAGAAGUAAGUCGCUGACCCAUUAUACAAAAGGUACGCAGUUACAGAAUAAAUCUGCUCCUACUGCUUGUAUGCAUACGAUUUCAGGUUCUAUUUCACUCCCCUCCCGGGGUUCUUUUCGCCUUUCCCUCACGGUACUUGUUCACUAUCGGUCAUUAGAGAGUAUUUAGCCUUGGA